Molecule: long non-coding RNA, 424 nt
Organism: Antechinus flavipes (yellow-footed antechinus)
Lineage: Eukaryota; Metazoa; Chordata; Mammalia; Dasyuromorphia; Dasyuridae
Exons: 3
Source: RefSeq, a predicted model, not a curated record
GAAGGGAAAGGAGAAAGAGAGAAUGGCUAGUGGGGAAAGUACUACUUCUGUAGUCAGCUCUGGGUUCAAAUUUCCCCUCUGAUACUUAUUAUGUGUAUUAUCUUUGUCUCUUUAGGUUUUCAUUUGCUUAUCCAAAUCUAUGAUUCCUGACUAUAUAUAAUAUGAAACUGUGAGAAGGUCAUGGUACAUAAAGGAAGCAUCAUGGACUGAUAUCAAGAUCCAGGAUGAUAUAUUAAUUGUAUGAGAGCUAAAACAGAGAUGAAAUGGUCUUACCAUCUGCCUGGAAAGACUGAGAAAUGCACCAUGUGUACAAUUCUGUCAUGUGAAAAGGAACUCUGGAGGCAUGCUGGAGAAUGCCAGAGGGAAGAAAAGAAAAUAGAUAAUUUAAAGAGGGAGAAAAAGAUCAUGGCCUAUAUCCACAUCG